This 437-nucleotide ribosomal RNA is filed under the name uncultured bacterium. RNAcentral's name for it is "partial 16S ribosomal RNA". It matches the Rfam family "Bacterial small subunit ribosomal RNA", at positions 30 to 507 of the family's 1533-position model. The record is from RNAcentral.
AGCGAACGCUGGCGGCAUGCUUAACACAUGCAAGUCGCGCGGGUGGUUUCGGACAUCUGCGGCUGACGGGUGAGGAGCGCGGAGGAAUGUAUGCCGAGGUGGGGAACAACCCUGUCAAACUGGAGCUAAUACGGCAAGGUGCGCGAAGACCAAAGACUUAGGGCGGGUUGGUAGCAGGCUUCGUCCGACUUGGCAGGUGUUGUGGUAAAGGCGUACCAAGCCUGCGAUCGGUAGCUGGUAGGAGAGGACGGUCAGACACACUGGGACUGAGACACGGCCCAGAAUCCUACGCGAAGCAGCAGUGGGGAAUACAGGACAAUGGGGUCAAGGAUGAUCCAGCAAUGCCGCGUGAGUGAAGAAGGUCUUAGGAUUGUGAAGCACGUUCGGACGGGACGAUGCUGACGGUACCCGCAGAAGAAGCCCCGGCUAACUUCGUG